AAGAAAGAUGAUUGAACUGCUAACUCGACACCCCGUGCCUAACAGCACGGCUUUCUUA
RNAcentral lists this transfer RNA (58 nucleotides) under Tupaia belangeri (northern tree shrew). Its description in RNAcentral is "tRNA-Ser". Lineage: Eukaryota; Metazoa; Chordata; Mammalia; Scandentia; Tupaiidae. The record is from RNAcentral.